This 274-nucleotide ribosomal RNA is filed under the name uncultured bacterium. RNAcentral's name for it is "partial small subunit ribosomal RNA". It matches the Rfam family "Bacterial small subunit ribosomal RNA", at positions 26 to 285 of the family's 1533-position model. The record is from RNAcentral. RNAcentral also lists the same sequence under 1 other name.
AGAAUCAACGCUGGCGGCGUGCCUAACACAUGCAAGUCGAACGCGAAAGCCCCGCAAGGGGUAAGUAGAGUGGCAAACGGGUGAGUAACACGUGGGUGAUCUGCCUCAGAGUGGGGGAUAACGACCCGAAAGGGUCGCUAAUACCGCAUAACAUCCUGCCUUUGGAUAGGUGGCGAUCAAAGUUGGGGAUCCGCAAGGACCUGACGCUUGGAGAGGAGCCCGCGGCCGAUUAGCUAGUUGGUGAGGUAACGGCUCACCAAGGCAACGAUCGGUA